GACGAACGCUGGCGGCGUGCUUAACACAUGCAAGUCGAACGGAAAGGCCCUGCUUUUGUGGGGUGCUCGAGUGGCGAACGGGUGAGUAACACGUGAGUAACCUGCCCUUGACUUUGGGAUAACUUCAGGAAACUGGGGCUAAUACCGGAUAGGAGCUCCUGCUGCAUGGUGGGGGUUAGAAAUUUUCGGCGGUUGGGGAUGGACUCGCGGCUUAUCAGCUUGUUGGUGGGGUAGUGGCUUACCAAGGCUUUGACGGGUAGCCGGCCUGGGAGGGUGACCGGCGACAUUGGGACUGAGAUACGGACCAGACUCCUACGGGAGGCAGCAGUGGGGAAUAUUGCCCAAUGGGAGGAAGCCUGAUGCAGCAACGCCGGGUGCGGGAUGACGGCCUUCGGGUUGUAAACCGCUUUCGCUUGUGACGAAGCGUGAGUGACGGUAAUGGGUAAAGAAGCACCGGCUAACUACGUG
Molecule: ribosomal RNA, 468 nt
Filed under: uncultured bacterium
Lineage: Bacteria
Description: partial 16S ribosomal RNA
Rfam family: Bacterial small subunit ribosomal RNA
Source: RNAcentral